GUAAGGAAUAUUGCGCAAUGGGCGAAAGCCUGACGCAGCAACGCCGCGUGAAGGAUGAAGGCCUUCGGGUUGUAAACUUUUUUUGUCGGGGACGAGCAAGGACGGUACCCGGCGAAUCAGUCACGGCUAACUACGUGCCAGCAGCCGCGGUAAAACGUAGGUGGCGAGCGUUAUCCGGAUUUACUGGGCGUAAAGCGUGUGCAGGCGGGCGACCAAGUGGUGUAUGAAAGCACUGCGCUCAACGCAGUGACGGUAGGCCAGACUGGUCGUCUGGAGGGCGAGAGAGGGGCGUGGAAUUCCGGGUGUAGUGGUGAAAUGCGUAGAGAUCCGGAGGAACCCCAGAGGCGAAGGCGGCGCCCUGGCUCGCACCUGACGCUCAGACACGACAGCAUGGGGAGCGAACGGGAUUAGAAACCCUAGUAGUCC
Molecule: ribosomal RNA, 426 nt
Filed under: uncultured bacterium
Lineage: Bacteria
Description: bacterial SSU rRNA
Rfam family: Bacterial small subunit ribosomal RNA
Source: RNAcentral